CUCAGUAACACGUAGUCAACCUGCCCUGGAGACAAGGACAACCCCGGGAAACUGGGAUUAAUCCUUGAUAGGUCAUCUCAUCUGGAAGGAGAGAUGGCUUAAAGGGGUACGCGGGCUUCUUCCGCGCAUCCGCUCCAGGAUGGGACUGCGUCCGAUCAGGCUGUUGGCGGGGUAAUGGCCCACCAAACCUGUAACCGGUACGGGCCUUGAGAGAGGUGGCCCGGAGAUGGACACUGAGAGAAGGGUCCAGGUCCUACGGGGCGCAGCAGGCGCGAAACCUUCGCAAUGCGCGAAAGCGUGACGAGGUUAAUCCGAGUGACUCCCGCUGAGGGGGUCUUUUGUCAGCUGUAAAUAGGCAGGCGAAUAAGGGGAGGGCAAGCCUGGUGUCAGCCGCCGCGGUAAUACCAGCUCCUCGAGUGGUCGGGGCGAUUAUUGGGCCUAAAGCAUCCGUAGCCGGUUCCGUAGGUCCUCUGUUAAAUCCAACCGCUUAACGGUUGACCUGCAGAGGAUACCGCGGGACUAGGAGGCGGGAGAGGCGGACGGUACUCCGCGUGUAGGGGUAAAAUCCUUUGAUCCGCGGAAGACCACCAGUGGCGAAGGCGGUCCGCCAGAACGCGCUCGACGGUGAGGGAUGAAAGCUGGGGGAGCGAACCGGAUUAAAUACCCGGGUAGUCCCAGCCGUAAACGAUGCUAGCUAGAUGAUUCAUUCGCAAGUCGCGAAUGAAGUGUCGCA
This 733-nucleotide ribosomal RNA is filed under the name uncultured crenarchaeote. RNAcentral describes it as "bacterial SSU rRNA". It matches the Rfam family "Archaeal small subunit ribosomal RNA", at positions 89 to 805 of the family's 1478-position model. Lineage: Archaea; Thermoproteati; Thermoproteota. The record is from RNAcentral.